RNAcentral lists this unclassified non-coding RNA (301 nucleotides) under uncultured fungus. Its description in RNAcentral is "partial contains 5.8S ribosomal RNA, internal transcribed spacer 2, and large subunit ribosomal RNA". The stretch from base 1 to 52 matches the Rfam family "5.8S ribosomal RNA", at positions 103 to 154 of the family's 154-position model. The record is from RNAcentral. Lineage: Eukaryota; Fungi. RNAcentral also lists the same sequence under 1 other name.
AACGCAUCUUGCGCUCCUUGGUAUUCCGAGGAGCAUGCCUGUUUGAGUGUCAUUAAAUUCUCAACCUCUACCAGCUUUGCUGCUUGGUAUUGGCUUGGAUGUGGGGGGAUUUCUGCAGGCUCUUUCACAGAGUCAGCUCCCCUGAAAUGCAUUAGCGGUGACCUUGAUGGCCAUUGGUGUGAUAACUAUCUACGCCAUUGGAUGUCGCGCUGUUCGCUGCUGCUAGCAGUCCAUUGACUUGGACAAAGCAAAUUAUGACAAUUUUGACCUCAAAUCAGGUAGGACUACCCGCUGAACUUAA